RNAcentral lists this unclassified non-coding RNA (300 nucleotides) under plant metagenome. Its description in RNAcentral is "partial contains 5.8S ribosomal RNA, internal transcribed spacer 2, and large subunit ribosomal RNA". The stretch from base 1 to 106 matches the Rfam family "5.8S ribosomal RNA", at positions 50 to 154 of the family's 154-position model. The record is from RNAcentral.
GAAAUGCGAUAAGUAAUGUGAAUUGCAGAAUUCAGUGAAUCAUCGAAUCUUUGAACGCACAUUGCGCCCCCUGGUAUUCCGGGGGGGCAUGCCUGUUCGAGCGUCAUUUCACCACUCAAGCCUCGCUUGGUAUUGGGCGACGCGGUCCGCCGCGCGCCUCAAAUCGACCGGCUGGGUCUUUCGUCCCCUCAGCGUUGUGGAAACUAUUCGCUAAAGGGUGCCGCGGGAGGCCACGCCGUAAAACAACCCCAUUUCUAAGGUUGACCUCGGAUCAGGUAGGGAUACCCGCUGAACUUAAGC